AUGGAAGGGGUUGAGGGAGGGAAGGGAGGUCGAUGCCACCAUGGUGGGAGCGGAGGGUUUAUAAACCUGGACCUGGACCCCUACAUUGACCCCGGAGCCCUUUCCAUGUCCUGCAUCCCUCCAGGACCCCCACGGCUGCGGGCGGCCGUGCAGCUGGUGGAGUCCGGAGGGGGUCUCCAGAAACCCGGGGGGUCCCUCACCCUCCUCUGCAAGGCCUCCGGCUUCACCUUCAGCAGCUCCGAAAUGGGAUGGAUGCGACAGGCGCCCGGGAAGGGGCUCGAGUUCGUCGCGGGUAUUAGUAGCAGUGGUAGUUACACAGACUACGCGCCGUCGGUCAAGGGGCGCUUCACCAUCUCCAGGGACAACUCCCAGAGCACUCUGAAGCUGCAGAUGAACAGCCUCAGGACCGAGGACACGGCCACCUACUACUGCGUCAAGGGGCGCUUCACCAUCUCCAGGGACAACUCCCAGAGCACUCUGAAGCUGCAGAUGAACAGCCUCAAGACCGAGGACACGGCCACCUACUACUGCGCCAAAAGUGCUGCUACUGGUGGUAGUGCUGAUGGUGGUGGCACCAACGCUGUCACCGCAUCCCCAAAUCACAGCAUCUCCCUUGAAGACCUCACACGGUUUUUCAGGUCUUCUGGCACGCCUGGACCCUUCCAUCAAGCAGCAAAACAUUUAUAG
Non-coding RNA from Charadrius vociferus (killdeer), 687 nucleotides. NCBI's taxonomy places the organism in Eukaryota, Metazoa, Chordata, Aves, Charadriiformes, Charadriidae. The record is from the annotation of a RefSeq genome assembly.